ACCGACUCCCGGCACGGGGAGGUAGUGACGAAAAAUAACGAUACGGGACUCAUCCGAGGCCCCGUAAUCGGAAUGAGUAUACUCUAAAUCCUUAUACGAGUAUCAAUUGGAGGGCAAGUCUGGUGCCAGCAGCCGCGGUAAUUCCAGCUCCAAUAGCGUAUAUUAAAGUUGUUGCGGUUAAAAAGCUCGUAGUUGGAUCUGUGUCCCGCGCCGUCGGUUCGCCGCCUGUCGGUGUUUAACUGGCGUGUAUGCGGGACGUCCUGCCGGUGGCGUGGUGUUUUUUGCGGCACGUAGGUUUGCGUUGUUGUGUUCGCACUCGGCGCUUUCCGAAGUCCGCAGUUAACCCGCGCCUGUUGAUCCCGUCGCGGUGCUCUUCACCGAGUGUCGAGGCGGGCCGGCACGUUUACUUUGAACAAAUUAGAGUGCUUUAAGCAGGCCCUGUCCCGCCUGUAUGUUGUGUGCAUGGAAUAAUGGAAUAGGACCUCGGUUCUAUUUUGUUGGUUUUCGGAAUCUGAGGUAAUGAUCAAUGGGGACAGGCGGGGGCAUUCGUAUUGCGACGUUAGAGGUGAAAUUCUUGGAUCGUCGCAAGACGGACCGAAGCGAAAGCAUUUGCCAAGUAUGUUCUCGUCGAUCAAGAACGAAAGUUAGAGGUUCGAAGGCGAUCAGAUACCGCCCUAGUUCUAACCAUAAACUAUGCCUGCCAGCGAUCCGCCGAAGUUCCUCCGAUGACUCGGCGGGCAGCUUCCGGGAAACCAGAGCUUUUGGGUUCCGGGGGAAGUAUGGUUGCAAAGCUGAAACUUAAAGGAAUUGACGGAAGGGCACCACCAGGAGUGGAGCCUGCGGCUUAAUUUGACUCAACACGGGAAAACUCACCAGGCCCGGACACCGGAAGGAUUGACAGAUUGAGAGCUCUUUCUUGAUUCGGUGGGUGGUGGUGCAUGGCCGUUCUUAGUUGGUGGAGCGAUUUGUCUGGUUAAUUCCGAUAACGAACGAGACUCUAGCCUACUAACUAGGCGUACCCGGUAUCCACAAUCGUGCUACCGGCGAUUCAAUUUCUUCUUAGAGGGACAGGCGGCUUCUAGCCGCACGAGACUGAGCAAUAACAGGUCUGUGAUGCCCUUAGAUGUCCUGGGCCGCACGCGCGCUACACUGAAGGAAUCAGCGUGUCUUCCCUGUCCGAAAGGACCGGGCAACCCGCUGAACCUCCUUUGUGCUAGGGAUUGGGGCUUGCAAUUGUUCCCCAUGAACGAGGAAUUCCCAGUAAGCGCGAGUCAUAAGCUCGCGUUGAUUACGUCCCUGCCCUUUGUACACA
RNAcentral lists this ribosomal RNA (1312 nucleotides) under Cixiopsis punctatus. RNAcentral describes it as "SSU rRNA". It matches the Rfam family "Eukaryotic small subunit ribosomal RNA", at positions 443 to 1668 of the family's 1831-position model. Lineage: Eukaryota; Metazoa; Arthropoda; Insecta; Hemiptera; Tropiduchidae. The record is from RNAcentral.